AUGAAGGCUCCCUCUCAGCUUUUUGUGUUCCUGGUGUUCUGGAUCCCAGGCAUGAUAUGUGACAUCCAGAUGACCCAGUCCCCAUCCUUGUCUGCAUCUCUAGGAGACAGAGUCACCAUUACUUGCAGGGCAAGUGAAAGCAUUAGUAAAUGGUUAGCCUGGUAUCAGCAGAAAGCAGAUAACUCUCCUAAACUCCUCAUAUACCAUGCAACCAAUUUGCAAUCUGGGAUUCCUUCAAGGUUCAGUGGCAGUGGAUCUGGGACAGAUUUUACUCUCACCAUUAGCAGCCUGCAGCCUGAAGAUGUUGCUACUUAUUACUGUCAACAGUAUAAUAGUUUCCCUCCCACAGUGAUACAAGCCAUGACAUAA
Onychomys torridus (southern grasshopper mouse) is the source of this 369-nucleotide non-coding RNA. The record is from the annotation of a RefSeq genome assembly. Lineage: Eukaryota; Metazoa; Chordata; Mammalia; Rodentia; Cricetidae.